GUCAUUCUUUCACUGAUUCAGGACAAAACCUGACAAGUGUCACAAUAAUUUACACCUGGACUUCCCAAAAAAUAAUGCACUGCUAAAGGGAUGUUAUUGGGAGGUUUGUGUACAUUUUAUUACAUGUUUAAUGCGCUGAAUUCAUAACAUUUGUGUGAUUUAUAUGAAAGUAAAACAAAUUUUGUUCAUUUUUAGUAUUUUUGUGUACUGGGGCAUGAAAAAGGG
RNAcentral lists this long non-coding RNA (225 nucleotides) under Mytilus galloprovincialis (Mediterranean mussel). The record is from RNAcentral. Lineage: Eukaryota; Metazoa; Mollusca; Bivalvia; Mytilida; Mytilidae.